RNAcentral lists this ribosomal RNA (494 nucleotides) under uncultured bacterium. Its description in RNAcentral is "bacterial SSU rRNA". It matches the Rfam family "Bacterial small subunit ribosomal RNA", at positions 25 to 518 of the family's 1533-position model. The record is from RNAcentral.
CAGGAUGAACGCUGGCGGCGUGCUUAAUACAUGCAAGUCGAACGAAGCACUUUGACAGAUCCCCUCGGGGUGAAGAUGAUUGUGACUUAGUGGCGGACGGGUGAGUAACGCGUGGGGAACCUGCCUCGUGCUGGGGGAUAACAGUUAGAAAUGACUGCUAAUACCGCAUAAGCGCACAGUGAGGCAUCUUACAGUGUGAAAAGAUUUAUCGGCAUGAGAUGGACCCGCGUCUGAUUAGGUAGUUGGCGGGGUAACGGCCCACCAAGCCCGCGAUCAGUAGCCGACUUGAGAGAGUGAUCGGCCACAUUGGGACUGAGACACGGCCCAGACUCCUACGGGAGGCAGCAGUAGGGAAUAUUGCACAAUGGGGGAAACCCUGAUGCAGCGACGCCGCGUGAGUGAUGAAGUAUUUCGGUACGUAAAACUCUAUCAGCAGGGAAGAUAAUGACGGUACCUGACUAAGAAGCCCCGGCUAACUACGUGCCAGCAGCAGC